Molecule: RNA transcript, 19747 nt
Organism: Diorhabda carinulata
Lineage: Eukaryota; Metazoa; Arthropoda; Insecta; Coleoptera; Chrysomelidae
Gene: Coq6
Gene name: ubiquinone biosynthesis monooxygenase COQ6, mitochondrial
Exons: 7
Source: RefSeq, a predicted model, not a curated record
UAUUCAUAAGCUAGCGUCGUUCUUUAGUAUUUCGAAUCUCCAGUGAGAAGCAGUUGUGUUAGUGAUUUCCUAGUUCUUUGUGCUAUUGGAAUCCACUGCAAAGCAGUUUUAUUCAAGACUCUGUUCACAUCGUUUCUGUAAAAUUAUUCAGUCACCUUGUGGGCGACAACCUCCUCUUCGAGCCAAGAAGUCUUCUGAUUGGUUUGUAAAUUGUAUCUUUUUUAUUUAAUGAAAACGAUGUAAAUAAAGUGAUAUUAGUCUAUAAUAAAAGUAUAGUUUGAAGUUUUGGAUUUCAUGGCUAAACCUCCCUAUACUAAUUUAUUUUGCCUUUACAUGUUUAUAAGCAAGAUGUUCCUGCAAACUUUGACUUCUGCUGCUCUGAAAAUUCGUUCACAGAGUAUUGAACCUGGGUAAGCGAGAGUUAAUUCCCACACAUUUUGGAGAUAGUAAUGAGCUGGGCGAUUAACUACAGGGAGUUGUAGAAGGGCUGCAUUAAACGGUAACAUUUGAUGUAUAUUUUCCCCAUGUAAGUACGAAUUACUUCAAAUUUAUUUAGUGUGCUCAUAAGUUGCAAAAAUGGAAAUGGUUGUAAAGGUAUUGAGAAACAUUAGAUUUAUUUGAUGAGUGAACAUUUCUAAAUUUUUGUGAAUAUGAGUCGACAACAAAUUUGAAAUAAUGAGUACUAAACUCGUGGUAUUAGCUUAUUAUGCUUGGAAUUGUUCCUAGUUUGUAGUAUUUGGCAAUGUUCUAAUGUAAUAGAAAUAAUCUUUACAAAUAACUUUUGAGUUUACAUUGCAAAUGAUAUGAAUAUAUUUUAAGUAUAAUUUGCUAAUAUUAUAUUUAGAAGUAAUUAAUUUUACUUCUGAAUUUAAUAUCUUAUAUACAAGAAAAAUGAUUUUCUUCAGGUUGGCAAUGAGGCUUGCAGGCCUUCUCCGAUAGUUGCCAACAUGAGCCCUACUACUUCCUAGAAAUGCACUCAUAAGGAUAUUUGCACAGGAAUAUUAAAAAUUUAUAUACAUCCCAAUAAUCUUUGAUGAAAGGAUACCAUUUGCUGAGUACUGGUCUUUAUUCUGGUUAUAUCUAUUAUCUGAAAUGAAUUAGAAAUUUACUGGCAAUCUAAUCAUGAUUCCAUUUCAAUUAUUGGUAGUAUUAAUUUUGACUAAAACUACAAGGUCUGAGACAAGUGGAGGACGUGAAAUGAGAGCAAAUGACUACAAAAGUAGAGUAUUUAUGAGAUCUUUCUGAUAUAGUAACUAAAAUUGUGAUUGUUAUUUGGAAAAUGUUAAACAUCACUUGUUCAAGUGUAAGGAGGAUAUGCUGGGUGCUAUAAUGGGAGAUAUAGUAUAUUACUAGGGAACAAUAACUAGACUGAAUCUGUGUGAGUGAUUACUGAGAAUUAUCGCAACUAAGACUUUCCGAGGAACUAGAUUUCUAUUGAAUUUUUUGUUUCUUCAAAGUUAUUCAGAUUUAUUGGUGUGGCAGAGGUAUUGCAAGAAUACUCCUUCAGUUCAAGAAAAGUGAAUUAAAAGAGUAGGACAUAUUGGUAUGCUUGUAUUCUUCGUUUAUUAUUGCAACUUGAGUUCAGAAGUUUUCAAAAAAUUUGCAGAGUACAAAAUUUAUCCUCAAUCUAAAUUAUAUUUUGAUGAUCAAUUACUGCCUUGAGUUUAGUUACCAACAGGUCGUACAUAGGAUAUAAAAAAACUGAAGCUUCUUCUGAGGGCUUGUAAUUGAAAGAUGCGAUAUAACUAGUUUAAAUUGUAAAGGUCUGUUUUUUUCAACUAAUUGAAGCUUUCAAUACUGACGCUUCAAAAAAAAUUUUUGAAGGAUGAAUAGAUUGAUCUUCUAAAAGGUCCAUUUUAAUAAUAUUUUUUGUAACUUUGCAUGCAUAAAAAUUCGUAGAAUUUAGUUUUCUUAGAAUGCUUUGAUAUGUUAUAGGUUAUUUGGAGAAAUUAUAAGUGAAACAUUUAAGAAAUCCCCUACUCUAUUUUUCAGAAUAUUAUUUAUUCCCAAGUGUUUUAUCAUUUGCAUUAACCAUUUAUGUUUUUACACUGCAACAAUAAAUUGUGAGUUUCGAACAUCAAAGUAGAUUUGCUAAUACAUAUUUCCAUUUUUUUUUACUGUGAAGCUAGAAUUUUAAUUUAUAAGUAGAUUGAUUCUAUGAAAAAAGUAACUUCGAAUUAGUGAAAUAUCCAAGACACUAAAACAUGAGAAUGAGCUAAUGAACUUAUUUUAUAUUAAGUUGUGAAGUGCUUACUAAUACGCAGAUGUGCGCAUAUGCAUGGAGAUAAAGUUGAAUGUUAAGAGUUUAUCUAAAAUUUACUACGUAUUUAUUUUCGAAUUUAUGGUUGAUUGAAUUCUUUAUUUGGAAGCCUGCAAUUUUAUUGGAACAUAUCAAGUAGACAUAUUUAGCCUAUUACUUAAAAUAAUGAUCAAUUAUUAAUUUAAACUAAUUAUGAUACUGAAUUUUAAUAGUAGUAUGUGACAUAUUUGGUAUAUAGUUUCGGCAAAACUAUCCACUGAAAAGUUUUUUUUAACGAAUAAUUUCUUACUGCAAUAAAAUGUUUUUAUGUUGUUCGUUAGAAUGGAACAUUGAUAUUUCUUGUAAUAUUUCCUCUGUGUUCUGCUAAAUAGAAGGUUACGAGAAUUGCAGUAUUUCUGAUUUUGAGAGAUUUCCUGAUUCUCCAAAAAUUUCGCCCAAAAUUUAGAAACUAAUCAACUUUGUUGUAAAUAUUUUUUAUUUAGGAUAAUUUUUUCCGUUCUUUCUUUUUUAGAAUGAAAAUAGUUUCUUCAGAUCAUCUAAGAACUUUUAAAGAUCAUACUAAAUUGUCAGAUAUUUUAGAAAAUUAAAUUAUUUUUCAGAAUUGGUUACUUCAUUCGGUUUUGCUAGUAAACAUGAUAUAUACUCCCUAUUUUUUGUGGAUUUUGGAUUGAAACUAUUAAUCACGAGACUUAGUCGAUCAGCAUUAGAAUUUUAUAUCAAGUACCAGCGUCAGAAUACAGUAUUUUUGUAUUGGUCUAACAUCCUAUCAUCACGUUAAAAAUACAUUUGUUUGAAAAGAUAGUGCAGGGUAUACGACAAUUCUGAAAUAUUCGGAUUAUCCUAGACGUAUUUUUCAGAUUAUAUGUAGUUCGGACGGAACAAUUUUGGGAGCUCUUAAUGACAUUGUGAGCAUUCGUUUGAAAAUAACCAAGAAUUAACAAUUUUAUGUCCUAUACAUACGAAUUAAAUUCUAAACUUUUAAUUGAAUAGAUUGAGUGAUGAAGGUAUUGGUUUCGAUCGCCUAACGGUUUUUUUCAGAAUUCAUCAUUUAACUUUGUAAUCAACAAAGCGAAGGUAUGAACCAUGAAAUAUUUGGGAUGCUUUAACAGUAUUUUUCAGAAUAUUGGAUUACUCCUAUUAUUAUUAUCUAAAAAGAAAAUGACUUCAAGAUGUACCUGCAUCUAGCUUACCAAAGUGUAGGUUAGCAAACUGUCAUAAAGUCCAUGUAAGGGUCGCAUAAUGAAAAAUUCUAAAAAAAUAAUUUUUUAGAAUAACCAUGUCGUGGAAAAGUAUUUCAAAAGUUAUCAUAAUUAUCGAUUUGCACUGAGGUCCUUGUUUUUUUAUAGUAACACUUGGAAAUUGGAUGUUUCGUGGUGUGCAGAUAGAAGUAAAUAUUUCACUGAAAUUCGUUAGAAUAUCCUACGAGUAGUUAAUGAGUAUGUAUAUAGCUUACCUUGGAAAAUUGGAAAUGCAAUCAUUGUAUCACAUGGACACUCUACCAAUGUUUUAUGAAUUACAAGUGAAAUGAAAGAGUUCAUAGUUUCGUCAAUGACCAUUUUGAGGAAUCCGUAGUAUGACGCCUUUUAUAUUCAUACAUUGAUAUUCUAGUGCCGAUCAGUGCCUCUUUAGAAAGUUUGGUAAGAGAUAUGGAUAAUUUUUUUUGGAAAAUUGCGUAUUUUCGAACAGUUUCUAGGAUCUGGAUUUUCACUCUGACAAAAUAUUAAACAUUUAUUCUAAAUCACAACCUGCAAACGAUCUAUAAACCUAAGGUGAUAAAAGAUAUUUUUGUGGAAUAUCUAACUGUAUUUUCAGAUUAUUGAAAUGAUUUACGCAGACACUUUCCCCAGAACUUUGGAUAUAGCAAAUUGGGUAAUCGCAGAUUAUUUGUUCUAACUGUAUUUUUCAGAAUGCAUCAACUAUUUAUUUCAAUGGUUUUGGUGCGUAUGGGGAUAGAUAAAGCACAGUUUGUCCAAAAGAUACAUAAUUGACAUUCUUCUAAUCACAAAAAGUAGUGAGUGCAGCUCGGUAAUAACGAAAAACACGCAUAAGUCUGUAAUUACAGAUUAUGUAUCGUACCUUAACUGUAUUUUUUAGAAUGUCUUACCUGAAGUAGACCUUAGGUAAUUAUUGCUUCCCCAACAAAAGUUUUUCCAGGAACAGGAUUGACCUUGGGAAAAAAUAUUCAUAAAACAUUUAUAGAAAGGAAUGAUUCAUACAAUAAGUCUACUAAAAUCUAUUGUACAGGAAACUUAUUUCAAUAGCAUCAGCAAUUUCCUAUUAGAAGUAAUAUUAAUAGCACUUGGAAUUGAAGGUUUGAAAUAUGUGAAAUCCUGAAGUUUGAAGUAUUAUGGCACAUAAGAAAGUUACAUUCACAGCUUGUAUUGAUACCUAUGAAAAUUCCCAAGUGUAAUCAUUAUACUAUGCCAUCAAUCAACUAAUGUUUCCUGGUAGAAUCGUGUGAAAAAAUGUUUUGGUGCGUUCUAAAGACAUAUUGAAAAAAAUGCCGGCAUGGAAAUUUUUGGUAAGGGAUUCGUAUAAUUUCUUUUCGAAAAUCUGUAUUUUCUAGAUCUGUUCUCACUCUGCGGAUUUUCAAUCAAUCCGGGAUUAUAAAAAAUAUGGGUUUUCUAAUAGCAUUUUCAUUAUUGAUUCGAUUUAUUAGGACACAUUUCGGAAAAUGUCAUCCGUCGGAUUUUUUUUUGAGAAAACUGGUUAUCAAAUACGUAGUGCCAAUAAAAAUAGUGAUUGAUGCGUUUCGAGGAACGCAAGAAUCGACAUACAGACAUCGACAGAAUAUCUAACGUGAAAUUUCGCAAGUUUUUUAAUCGUAUCAAGGUAAAUUCAAAUAAAAAAAAUAGAUAUUUUUUAGAAUAACUUUUAUGGAAAUGAUCUCGAAAGCAACGUGGUUCAAGCUUAUCAAAAAUUUAUAACAAUGAAAAAUUCUACUAAGACCGUAGCUAAACAUUUUCUCUAUUUGCACCUAAAAUAAGGUCUUAUGUUUAUAAUGUGCAGUUGGAAUUUAACGUGAAUGUAUUGAUUGUAUUGAUAAAUAACGUUUGAAAGCAUGUGAGUUUUGUUACUUAUGGCAUGCGGUUCAUAAUAAAAACAUGUUUUGCAACAUUUGAUACUCGUGAGUUACAUAUAAUCAUUAUAAAUCGCUUGACCAAAAGCUGUCUUCAAAAUUCCUACUUCAUUUUGCAGUUCCAGUCGAUGUCUAUUUGGAAGUUUGGUAAGAGAUAUAAUUUCAUUUCGAAAAUCUUUUCGUAUUUUUUAGAAUGCAUUUGUAUUUUUUUCACUCCAUGCUAUGUAUACAAGAUUAAUUUAUGAAUUUCCAAUCUUACCACUUUUCGUAAUUAUUGGAUGGAUUAUCUUAAUCACGCAAGUAUUAUGAUUUGGUCAAACAUGCUUCGGAAUCUGUUUGGAAUACCUAACGGUAUUUUCAGGUCAUUGGUACGAUUUACUCCGACGCAUUUAGCAACAUUUGAAUCUGCGAAAUUCGACAAUCAGAUAUAAUUUAAGAUGUUUCAACUAUAUAUUUCGGAAUGAAACUACUUAUUGAAUGGUUUUAUAUGAGCAGAUAGAAGGAGCGUGCCCAAAAUAUCAUUAUUGAUAUUAAUUUCUCAAUCACCUCUAUUUUGCUGGUCUUAUUUUAUCGAACAAGCAAUAAUCAGGUCUGUAAUGACGACGUAAUUUUGGAAUGCAUAACGUUUUGUUUGUAUAAUUUACUUAUACAACUUGCAAUUCGCAAGGGAAAUAUGUGAUAUCUUAACCGUAUUUUUCAGGACGUAAAACCUGAAAUAAGCAAAUGACAUAAUUAACAAUUAUUUUUUUGGUUAAAGUAGAAAUGAAAUUAUUACCUGAUCUAGAUUUUAUCGGAAUGUAAUAAAAUUAAAGAUUAGCAAGAUAUUCAGACUUAGGAUUAAUUUUCCGUAAUACAGCAGAAUGAUACAGAAAUACAGGAUGAUGUCGAAUAUCAUCGCGAGAUCUUUGGAACUGUAUUUCAACAUUCCCAGGAUAUCUGCAUUACUCCUUGUGUAAUUUAAUCCAAUAGAAAAACGUUAACUGCAGCAAAUCUCGAUUUUUUUAAAAACCGAGUAUUUUUUUUUUAUAAACUUGCUCGGAAUAUUUUAAUGAACGUUCAAUAAUCAGGUUGGUAAAGGAACUAUUUUUGGAAUACUAACUGCAUUUUUAGAUUACUCAAUCGAUUUGUCAUGAUUUGGAUCAAGUUAUUCGAAGAAAUAUCGACAUUUAAUGACCAAAUAAAGCUAAUUUUAAUUGAAUAUUCCAAAAAAUCGGAUGUCUCAAGCUGCGCAGUUGUCAUUUGUAGUAAGGUACUCGUUUAAAAAAUUUGCAUUUAACGUAGAUGUUUCAGCGAAUUCUGGAAAAAUCAUUAGAUUUACCAAAGAAUUGUUCUAUCAAACUUAGGUAUACUUCAAUUUCGUUCUAUCCAAUUCCACUCGACAUUUUUUAAUUUGACAAAGAUAAAAAUGGGAUUGAUUUUAUUAUGUCUACAAGCGAGCCACGUAUUCUACAACAAAAUUUUCGGACAUACUUAAAUUACAUGAGAGAGGAACACAAUAAAUCAUUCUGGUCACUGUACUUGACACCACAAUCACAACAUAUACGCAUGAACACGAAAAUUUGGAAAAUUUCAAAUUGCGUCUGCACGUUUAAAAAAAUCGUCAUAUUGAUGUUUGAAAGCACUUCAUUUUAUGUACUUAUGGUAUGUGGUCCAUAUUAUGAUUUAAGUUUUAUAAAAUUAUGUAAUAAUCAUGAUAAUUGUAGUUCUGUUAAACAGGCGCCACUUUAAAAUUCGUACUGCCAGUGGCCAAUUAAUUCCUUUUCGAAAGUAUUCCUAUUUUCUAGAACGAUUCUCUGCCUAUAUUUUACUUCAAAUCGAGUAUCUGAUGUUCAACGAUUUGAAUUCUUUUAUUGGAUAUUAUACAUGCAAGUAUUAUGAUUCUAUCAAGUGUCAACUAGAUAUAUUUUAGUAAUUAACAUGCUUCAGAAUAUGUUGGAAAUUUGAAAAAGGAUAUUGAAAUAUUUUUGGACUACGGCAGUUUUUAAGGUUAUGGAAACGAUUUACUCGGACACCUUUCGCAGUAUUUGGAACGUAAGAUCGGCAAUUAACUGUAUUUUUCAGAAUGUUUUGUGCUUGAAGUAAAUUCACUUUUUCUACCAAAUAUAGAUUUUUCUAAUUUGUAAACUAUUCAGUAAUUUAAUAAGUUAGUUUACAAAAACGAAUAAUACACACCUAUAUGUCUACCAUAUAUCUAACAAAUAUUUUACAGACUCAUUCAAGUAAAGAAAUGUUUUUGAUAAUCAGUAUACUAAUGUAUACUUAUGUUCGAUUCUGUGCGUUGUUGAGAAAUUUAGUAUGCUGCUGAAAGCUUUUGGGGGAUGAGAUUGAUUCAUAAUCCAGAUUGCAGUUCGAGCCACUGUCCUACCGUGUAUAGUCUUUUCCAAAAAGGUUGGAUUUGUACUGUAUUGAGUGAACAUUCAUCGUGCAUGUGAUACUAUAAAUUUGACCCAACGUUAUUUGGAAAUAUUUUUUUAAAAACUAUGUUAAAAAUCUAUACAGAGUAUAAAUAAUACUAAUUAACAAAUGGACUAGCGAUGUAAUUUGGAACAAUUUUAUUAGAAAAUGUAAACAUUGAAUCCUGAAAUAACUAAGUGGAAGAUUAAUUUGUCGACUGUAUGUAGGUAAUUUUAAUGAAAUCUUGAAAAAAUAUAUUGAUUUUUUUAGAACAUGUGGUAAGGUCCUCCUAUAGUUCCUCGUAAGAAUGAAAUAUAUGUAUCUAUAAUUUGCAGGUGGAAGUUAAAUAUUUCAGUUCGUCUUAAGUUUUAUUGCAGCGGAAAAAUAGAUAACUACGAUAAAUUCCGUGAAAAUCUGAUUGCUCCGGAAACUGUUAAAAUGACAGUGAUGAAAAUGAAAAAUGUCUGUAAUCAUUACGUUAUGUUGACAAUGUUUUCUAGAAUUCCUCAUAAUAAUACAUAACGUAAUAAUAAAUCAGUUGAACAAGCCUCAAAAUUCGUAAUGUUUUAUCGAGUGUCAGUCGGUGGUCUGGUAAGAGAUUUCUAUAAUUUCGAAAAUAGAUAAUCUUUUCUAGAAUGAUUCCCAGCCUAUGUGAUAAUUGGUUAGAAUACUGUCAUUAUAAAACUAUUUUGAUAUGGUCUAUUACUAAUUAACUCCAUCUAUUUUACUCUGAUGAUUCUCCAAAAUCUUUAUGAGGGCCUAAUUGAUGAUUUUGGGAUAUCUAGAAUCUAUCAGAUUAUCGGGAUGAUUUAUUAGGACAAAUUUCAAGGAAUGUGGACAACUUGAAAUAGGUAAUCGCAGAUUAUUCAAGGAGUUCUAACCGUAUUUUUCAGAAUGCACCAGUAUUUGUCUUAUCAAUGGAUUUACUGAAAUCUGCUUCCGAUGGAUUAUUUACCGUGUUUUCCAGAAUUAAAAUUUUUUGACAAGUGAUCUGCUUAAUCCAUAAACGAGUAAUUCAUUUAUUAUGCCGUCUGCUCAUAUAUAUUUUACAGACUGCUUUAAGAGAGGAGAAAAUGGGUAUAUACAUCAUUAUAACUGCUUGCGUGUCUUCGGAAAAAACUAUCCAUACUUGCAAUUGAAAUGGAAAGGUCAGUUUCUUAAUAUUUCGUACCGUCUAUAAUAUUUUCCAGGUAUCGGUUGAACAUUAUAGAAAAUUAGUGACCGAGCCAAAGGGCUGUCAUUUUUUCUGUGUUUCAUCUAUUUUACAGAGAUAUUCCAACAUUCCCGUAUCAUCUAAUGAUGAUCAUCACUUUUUAUUUGUUUUAAUGCGAUAUUACGGCAAUUCGAAAAAGCGAGUCACAUAAUCAGGUCGGUAAAGAUGAAGUAUUUUUAUAGUAACUAACAAUAUUAGAUUAUUUUAACUAUUUGCUCCUACACGUUCUACAAAACUUCACAUAUCAAAGUGGGUAAGGUGGUUUAACCCUAUUUUUUAGAAUGUAACAACGACAGAAUUAAGUACACAGAUAUAUAAAUAAUAUGAUUCGGCGUUUGUUAAAGAGGUCAAUUCAAUUAUUCUUGUAAUUAUAAUAUCCUGGAAUAUCGGACAACGAACAAUAAAACAGGUCGGUAAUAAUGAGGUACUUUGGAAUACAUAACUGCAUUUUCAGUUCGUUUGAUUUACUGCCGACACAUCUCGCCCAACUUUAAAUUCUCAUUGGGCGGAUAUGAUGUCUUAACCGUAUUACAAUUGUUUAGUGCUUCAGUGUCGAACAUUUAACGAUAUUUUCAGAAUUGAAUCAACUUACAUAUUAAUUAUCUGGUAUGUUACAAUCUAUUUACUUCACUAUGUGAUCAACCUUUCGGCAAAAUCUAUAUUGCUUUCUAUAUGAAUGACAUUAAUUAUAGCAAGUCUCUAGAUUAAAAUAAUGCAAAUUUUUUCAUUUUUCGUGAUUAACAUGCUUAACAUCUUCAAUGGAUAACCAAUCAGCAGGUCAGUAAUAAAAUAACUAUAUUUAAAAUACAUAAGUUUUGAAGAUUAUUGGAACAAUUUAAUCGGACAUAUUCAGCACAUUAUCAGGAAGUAGUUUUUUGGAAGCUUAUGUUUAAUGUCUAUACAGAAUGGGAAUAAUACUUAUUACCAAUUGGCAUAGUGAUUAAUUAAUUUCAUAGAAUGAGUAUUAUCGAUAAAAUAUUGAGGUGGUUUGGAACAUUUUGGUUAACAAAUGUAAACUUGUGAUGAAUCAGGAAUACUUAACGGAGAAAGAUCGGUUUUUGUUGACAGUAUGGAAGUACUUUAAAUGCGGUAUUCCAAGAAAAUAUAUAUUGUUUUUUUAGAAUAUAUAGUAAGGUCCCCUUUCCAUAGUUUCUCGUGAGAAUGAAAUAUCUGUGUCCAUAGUUUGCAGCUGGAAUUGAAUGUGAAAGUGAAAUCUUUGAAAUUAACGGGAUUCGUCGUAGUUUACCACCCGUAGUUAUAGUAAUCAUAGUAACUUCGUGAAACCUGAUUGCUUCGGACACUAUUACUGAUGACAACGCAAAGGUCGGUAAUCAUUACGUUAUGUUGACAAUGUUUUCUAGAAUAAUCACGUGAAGAAAUGUAUUCUGAAUUGGUGACUUAUGAUUUAUAUUUGUACAUUUUAAAGAAAUUCGCCAUAUUGAUAAAUAACAUUCGGAAGUAGGUGAUUUUUUAUAGUUUGAUAUACGAUUUUUAUCAAAAAUAGAUGUACUAUCGAUCGAUCAUUCAUAAUUCGUAAUUUUUUUAUUGUAGUACCAUUCAGUGUCUUUAGAAGGUCUGGUAAGAAAUUUAUAUAAUUUCUUUUCGAAAAUCCUUUGGUUUUUUUUUUCUAGAAUAACUCUGACCAUGCGAUGACCAAUCUUCUAAACUCUGCUUUUACAAUGCUUGAAUAGACUACUUAAAUUAUGCAACUAUUUUGAUAUGGUAUAUUUCUACUAGAAUUUAUUUGAGGGCCUAAUUUUAUGAUUUUAUCUUAAAAUUCGUAAACGUAGGUUGUUCAAGGUGUUCUAAACGUAUUUUUCAGAAUUAUUUGUUUUAUCGAUGGAUUUGCAAUAUAUUCAGAUAUUAGAGGAUAGUUUGGAAAAACUCAUUAUUGAUAUUUUCACAAUUGGAAUACCCAACCGAAUUUUCAGAUAACUUUAACACAUAUCAGAUGAGUUGAAAUACGCAAACCAUGGAUUAUAUACCAAAUUCUCCAGAGUUGAAAUUUUUUGCGCUGUACCUUGCCUAAUUAUAAUCCAUAAAAACGAGUAAUCCAUUUAUUAUGCCGAAUGCUAAUAUAUAUUUCACAGACUGCGACAAGAGAAGAAAAUAUGUUCUCGAAAAUGGGUCUAGAUCAUUAUAACCGCUCGUGUGUAUUCGAAAAAAACUAGAUUUAUUUAUUCUUACAAGAGGAAUGCGAAGAGGUCAGUUUCUUAAAAUUUCGUACCGUCUAUAAUAUUUUCCAGGUAUCGGUUGAAGAUUAUAUAAAAUUAAUGACCAAGCCAAAGGUCUGUCAUUUCUUCUGUGUCUUAUCUAUUUUUCAGAGAUAUCAACAUUCCCAUAUUAUCUGAUGAUUAUCAUCACACAAAAUGGUAUUGAUUGAGACGGAGUAUUUUUAUAGUAACCAACAAUAUUUUAGAUUAUUGUAACUAUUUGCCGAAUACAAAAUUUAACAUGUCGAUAUCGAUAAAGUGUUUUAACCCUAUUUUUUAGAAUUUACCGAAACAAUCUUAAUGAUAUAUGAUGAUAUAUUAAGAAUAUGAUUUGUCGUUUGUUGAAUACAUCAAUUCAAUUAUUCUUGAAAUUAUAAUAUCUUCGUAUAUUUUAUCGGACAACAAAUAAGCAAGUUGGUCGAUAAUGACGAAAUACUUUGGAAUACAUAACUGCAUUUUCAGUUCUUUCGAUUUCCUUCCAACAUAUCUCACCCAAAUUGAAAUUCCCCUUGGACAUUAACCGUAUUUUUCAGGACUUGUUUAGUAUUUCAGUUAGAACUUGAGAUAAUUAUUGCUUUUUCUUAUAUAUUUUUCCAAGAUGUGAACUGAAUUGAUAAUGUUUAAAAUAUUUGUGGCAAUAUGCUAUCCAAUAAAAACAUUAGUUAUUUUUCUGUCGAACAUUUAACGAUAUUUUCAGAACUAAACGUGCAUACGAAUUUUCUGGUUUGUCACUAUUUAGUUACUUUACUAUGUGAUCAGCAGGUCAGUAAUAAACUACUUAUAUUUGAAAUACCUAACGGCUUUUUAAGAUUAUUGGAACGAUUUGAUCGGAAAUAUUUGGCACAUUAUCUGGAAAUAGUUUUUUUGAAACUACCUAUUACCAUAUGGACUAUAUGACUAAUUAAUUUCAUGGAAUUGGUAUAAUAGAUAAAAUAUUGAGGUAAUUUUGAAUAAGUUUAUCAAAAACGUGAACUAAUGAUGAAUCAAGGAAUAACAAGAAAAGGAUUUUUGGUGACCGCACGAAAUUAAUUUCAAUGAAAUAUUCCAAAAAGAUAUAUCUUGUUUUGUAGAAUUAUGCCAAGGUCGUCGUUGUCUAUAGUUGCCCUUAAAUAUGAAAAAUCCGUAUCCGUAGUUUGGAGUUAGAAUUGAAUUUUUUAGUGGAAUAUUGAAAAUUCAACAGGAUUCAUCCUAGUAUUAUGACAAUGAAGAAAAUGAGAACGUCAGUACCUAAUUAUAAAUAUAAUUUUUUCUAGAAUAAUAUUGUGAUGAAAGUUUCACGAAUCAGGGACUAAUUGUAUUUGUGCUGUCAAAGGAAAUUCGCCAUUUUUAUAAUAACGUUCGACUGCAUACCCAUAGUAAGAGGCUCCUAUAGAAAAUAAAUUAUGAAAACUAAAAUUAUGGAAACUAUCAAUCAUUUAUUAUAAAUCGGUUUGAAAAGUAUCUUCUUGAAAAUUCGUAAUUUUUUAUUUUAGUGCCAUUUAGAACGUCUGGUAAGAAAUUUAUAUAAUCCCUUUUCGAAAAUCUUUUCGUAUUUUCUAGAACUAUUCCCAGCCCAUGUGAUGACUAAUCCUCUCUCGGCUUUUGCAAUUAUUGGAUAAAAUACUUUAAUUAUGCAAGUAUUUUGAUAUUGUCUAAUACUAUAUUAAUUAAUAGUAAUACUUAAUAUUAAUUCGCAUCUAUUUUACUUUGAUGGUGACUCAGAAUCUAUUUGUCAGCCAAAAUGAUGAAUUUAAGAUAUCUAGGAUCAUUAUCAGAUUAUUGGAAUGAUUUUUUCGAACACAUUUCGAAGAACGUGGAUAUUUUAAAAUUGGUAAUUGCAAAUUAUUUAAGGUUUUAACCGCAUUUUUUAGAAUGUACCAACUAUUUGUUAUCGAUGGUUUUACUGUACUUUCGUAUAUAUGGAGGAUAGUUAAAAAUCCAUAAUUCAUAUUUUUACAAUUGCAACACCGAACCUAAUUUUUAGUUUACCACAAUACAUCCCAGAUAACAUUAAUACGCAAACGAUGGAUUAUAUAAAAACUGCUUCAGAUGCCUCAUUGCAAAAUUGUGAUUAGUUGCUCCACAUAUCUUAAUGUUGAACCAGUAACAAGGCCGUUAAAGACGAAUCAUUUUUGAAAUAAUUAACUAUUGAUACAAUUUGCUCGAACACACUCUGCAAAACUUGACAUGCCGAGAUCAUUAAUCGAAAUAGUAUCGAAAGUAUCUGUAUUUUUCAGAAUAAUUUCCAGCACGCGGAUUAAUAACUUUUCCAAAUUACUGAUUGUUGAUAAAUUGGAUUCUGCCAUUAUUUAGUUGAUCAGAACUACUACUAGGAAAUACAAGAAAUAUCUGACGAAAUAAAUAUAAUACUCGUUAGUUUUGUAAGGAACUUAUUGGACAAUCAAUUAGUCUGUAGGUGAUAUUGAGAUAACUGGUUGCUUUCCUUUAUUUAAAAAUCUGUAACCGCAAUAAUGAGACAUUGUGAAGUACAUUGAAGAUGAAAUAAGUUUGAGUAUUGAUAGAGUUUAUUGAGGUUUUUGGGUUAUAACUGGUGUUAUUCGGCACAUGGGUAAUUUCAAAUAUUUCCAUAACACUUAUAGUAUGAAAAUAUUUAUUAAUAUAAAGAGGAAAUUGAUGUAACAUUAGAAAAAAAUUUUCUAUUUAAAGAGGAGUUAAUAUCUUUGAAUUAAGAAGAUUUAUUGAUUAUUGAAAAGAUGAUUAUAACAUUAAAUACAAUGAGCAGGGAAGGUUGACAAUUUUAUGGUAAAUGAGACCUUUUGAUGAGCUGGAGAAAGGUGAUGGUUUCAUUAUGUAUGAGAAGAAUAACAGUUUUUGUGUGGAUAGAUUGAUGGAAACUAUUGGUCGAUGGUUUCUCAAUGAAACAAGAUAAUGGCACCUGAAUUGUUGAAACAAUAUUUCCUGAAUGGAUGAAUCGAUGGUUUUUAAAUGGAUGGACCGAUGAUUCCUGAUAUUACUGGAUGGAUACAGACGGCGGUUCCUGGAUGGAUAGAGAAGGGGUUCCUGGACGGACGGAGAUCACGAUACCUGAAUUCAUGGAUACGACGUUUCUUGAACGGAUGGAUACGAUGGAUCUUGGACGGAUGGAUACGAUGGUUCUUGGACGGAUGGAUACGAUGGUUCUUGGACGGAUGGAUACGACUGUUCCUGGAUAGACGGAGAAGAUGGUUUCCUAGAUGGAUGAAGACGAUGGUUUCCUAGAUGGAUGAAGACGAUGGUUUCCUAGAUGGAUGAAGACGAUGGUUUCCUAGAUGGGUGAAGACGAUGGUUUCCUAGAUGUAUGAAGACGAUGGUUUCCUAGAUGGAUGAAGACGAUGGUUUCCUAGAUGGAUGAAGACGAUGGUUUCCUAGAUGGAUGAAGACGAUGGUUUCCUAGAUGGAUGAAGACGAUGGUUUCCUAGAUGGAUGAAGACGAUGGUUUCCUAGAUGGAUGAAGACGAUGGUUUUUGAAUGGAUGGAUAGGUGGAAACUAUUAGUCGAUGGUUUCUGAAUGAAAGGAGAGAAUGGCUCCUGAGUUGUUGUGGCGAUGUUUCCUGAAUGUAUGAACGGAUGGUUUUUAAAUGAAUGGACCGAUGAUUCCCGACUACGAUUACUGGAUGGAUGAAGACGGCGGUUCCUGGCUGAACGGCGACCACGAUACCUGAACUCAUGGAUACAACGGUUUCUGGACGGAUGGAUACAACGGUUCCUGGACGGAUGGAUACGGCGGUUUCUGGACGGGAAGGAUACGGCGGUUUCUGGACGGGAAGGAUACGGCGGUUCCUAGACGGGAAGGAUACGGCGGUUCCUAGACGGGAAGGAUACGGCGGUUCCCAGACGGACGGAGAGGUGGGUUCCUGUACGGUUGGUGACGACGGUUCUUACAUGGUCGGUGACGACGGUUCUUAGAUGGUCGGUGACGACGGUUCUUAGAUGGUAGGUGACGACGGUUCUAGAUGGUCGGUGACGACGGUUCCUGGAUAGACGGUGACGACCGUUCCUGGAUAGACGGUGACGACCGUUCCUGGAUAGACGGUGACGACCGUUCCUGGAUAGACGGUGACGACCGUUCCUGGAUAGACGGUGACGACCGUUCCUGGAUAGAGGUGACGACGGUUCCUGGAUAGACGGUGACGACGGUUCCUGGAUAGACGGUGACGACGGUUCCUGGAUAGACGGUGACGACGGUUCCUGGAUAGACGGUGACGACGGUUCCUGGAUAGACGGUGACGACGGUUCCUGGAUAGACAGUGACGACGGUUCCUGGAUAGACGGUGACGACGGUUCCUGGAUAGACGGUGACGACGGUUCCUGGAUAGAUAGUGACGACGGUUCCUUGAUAGGCGGUACGACGGUUUCUGGAUAGACGGUGACCACGGUUCCUGGAUAGACGGUGACCACGGUUCCUGGAUAGACGGUGACCACGGUUCCUGGAUAGACGGUGACCACGGUUCCUGGAUAGACGGUGACAACGGUUCCUGGAUAGACGGUGACCACGGUUCUUGGAUAGACGGUGACCACGGUUCCUGGAUAGACGGUGACCACGGUUCCUGGAUAGACGGUGACCACGGUUCCUGGAUAGACGGUGACGACGGUUCUUGGAUAGAUGGUGCCGAUGGAUCCUACAUAGGUCGAGACAAUGAAUCCUACAUAGAUCGAGACAAUGAAUCCUACAUAGAUCGAGACAAUGAAUCCUACAUAGAUCGAGACAAUGAAUCCUACAUAGAUCGAGACAAUGAAUCCUACAUAGAUCGAGACAAUGAAUCCUACAUAGGUCGAGACAAUGAAUCCUACAUAGAUCGAGACAAUGAAUCCUGCAUAAGUCGAGACAAGGAAUCCUGCAUAAGUCGAGACAAGGAAUCCAGGGGACGGCGGUUGCAGUACCGCAAGAACAGAUUGUUGCUGGAUUAAGACAAUGGUUCCUGGAUGGUUAGAAACUACGGUUCCUGGAUGGUUCGAAACUACGGUUCCUGGAUGGUUCGAAACUGGAUUAUUAAAAACUGCGAGUCCUGGAUGGUCCAAGAAAACGAUUCCUGGAUGGUCCAAGAAAACGAUUCCUGGAUGGUCCAAGAAAACGAUUCCUGGAUGGUCCAAGAAAACGAUUCCUGGAUGGUCCAAGAAAACGAUUCCUGCAUGGUCCAAGAAAACGAUUCCUGGAUGGUCCAAGAAAACGAUUCCUGGAUAGUCCAGGCUCUUUGAUGGAGACGAUGGUUCCCAGUUGGAUGGAGACGACGGUUCCCAGUUGGAUAGAGACGACGGUUCCCAGUUGGAUGGAGACGACGGUUCCUAGUUGGAUGGAGACGACGGUUCCCAGUUGGAUGGAGACGAUGGUUCCCAGUUGGAUGGAGACGACGGUUCCUAGUUGGAUGGAGACGACGGUUCCCAGUUGGAUGGAGACGACGGUUCCCAGUUGGAUGGAGACGACGGUUCCCAGUUGGAUGGAGACGACGGUUCCUGGAAAGAAGGAUACGACGGUUCCGGGAAGAAAGGAUAAGAUGGUGUCUGGAAGGAAGGAUAAGAUGGUGUCUGGAAGGAAGGAUAAGAUGUUUCUGGAUGAGGGGAUGAAACGGUUCCGGAAUGGAGGGAUGGAAUGAUUCCUAGUUAGAUGGAGACGACGGUUCCUGGAUGGAUAGAGAUGACUGUUCCUGGAUGGAUAGAGGUGACUGUUUCUGGAUGGAUGGAGACGAUGGUUCCCGGAUGGAUGGAGACGAUGGUUCCCAGUUGGAUGGAGACGAUGGUUCCCAGUUGGAUGGAGACGACGGUUCCUAGUUGGAUGGAGACGACGGUUCCUAGUUGGAUGGAGACGACGGUUCCUAGUUGGAUGGAGACGACGGUUCCGGGAAGGAAGGAUAAGAUGUUUCUGGAUGAGGGGAUGAAACGGUUCCGGAAUGGAGGGAUGGAACGAGUAUAGUAUGAUAUAGUAUAGAUGGAGACAGCGGUUUCUGGAUAGAUGGGGACAGCGGUUUCUGGAUGGAUGGAUACGAUGGUUCCUGUAUGAAUGGUAAUGACGUUUGUUUUAUGAAGAACGUUGGCGGUGACGGCUGGAUCGACCCCAAUAUAAAUAAUUUGUACCGAUCCCAAUAUGAAAAAUCAGUAUGAUUAAGUUACACGAUUAUCCUGAAUGGAUAGAGAUGAUGCCAAAAUGAAUGUAGUCGAUGGUUUCCUGGAUGUAUGGAGACAAUGUUUCUUAUGUGGAUGGAUACAAGGGUUCCUGAAUUGAUAAUAUGUUUUUUGAUUGUAUGAAUUGAUAGCUUCUGACUCGAUGGAUUCUGGAUGGAUGGAGAUGACGUUUUUCGGAUGGAGAUAAAUAGGAUGAUUCCUGGAUAGUGGACACAAUGACUCUUGAAUGGUACGUGACCAUGGUUUCUGGAUGUAUGGCUACUAUGGUUCCUGACGAAGAUUAUUGGAUGAGAGAGACGACGGCUCUGGGGUAGAUGGAGAUGAAGUUUCUUGGAUGGACAGAGACGGUGGAUACAUGGAACCGAUGGCUGGAGAAGAUUCCAGUUCAUUCUAAGAAGACUGUUCCUGGUCGGUCGGAGAGUACUGUUUUUGUUGGUUGUACAUGUUUCCUGGUCGAAUAUCCAGUAUGAGUGAUUUAGGAGAAUACACUCCAUGAACAAAUGACGAAAUUGUUGAUGGAGAACUACACACUACGUUUGGAUGAAAUGGGUCGAUGGUGUUUGAAAGGAAUGAGAUAACAGUCCAUGAAUAAAAAGAGGCGACGUUUCUUGGAUGGGUGGAUACGAUGGAUACUAAAUGGUAAGAGACGAUGCUACUUGGAUCGAUGGAAACGAUAGCUUUCUAUGAAUGGAGGGAGACGACGGUUCCUUAAUUGAGGGAGACGACGGUUCCUUAAUUGAGGGAGACGACGGUUCCUUAAUUGAGGGAGACGACGGUUCCUUGAUGGAGGGAGACGACGGUUCCUUGAUGGAGGGAGACGACGGUUCCUUGAUGGAGGGAGACUCGGUUCCUUGAUGGAGGGAGACUCGGUUCCUUGAUGGAGGGAGACGACGGUUCCUUGAUGGAGGGAGACGACGGUUCCUUGAUGGAGGGAGACAACGGUUCCUUGAUGGAGGGAGACGACGGUUUCUAGAUGGAUGGAGACGACGGUUUCUAGAUGGAUAGAGACGACGGUUCAUGGAUGGAUGGGAAGACAGUUCAUGGAUGGAUGGGAAGACAGUUCAUGGAUGGACGGAAACGACGAUUCCUGAAUGAAUGAAAACGACGAUUCCUUGAUGGAGGGAGACGACGGUUUCUAGAUGGAUGGAGACGACGGUUCAUGGAUGGACGGAAACGACGAUUCCUGAAUGAAUGAAAACGACGAUUGCUGAAUGAAUGAAAACGACGGUUCCUGGAUGAAUGAAAACUAAGAUUCCUGGAUGAAUGAAAACGACGGUUCCUGGAUGGAUGGAAGCGACGGUUCUUGCUGAAUGGAAACGGAGUUUUUGAUGAAUGGGUAUGAUUAAUCCUGGAUAAAUGGAACUACGGGUCCUGGAUAAAUGGAAACUACGGGUCCUGGAUAAAUGGAGACUACGGGUCCUGGAUAAAUGGAAACUACGGGUCCUGGAUGAAUGGAAACUACGGGUCCUGGAUGAAUGGAAACUACGGGUCCUGGAUGAAUGGAAACUACGGGUCCUGGAUGAAUGGAAACUACGGGUCCUGGAUGAAUGGAAACUACGGGUUCUGGAUGAAUGGAAACUACGGGUUCUGGAUAAAUGGAAACUACGGGUCCUGGAUGAAUGGAAACUACGGGUCCUGGAUGAAUGGAAACUACGGGUCCUGGAUGAAUGGAAACUACGGGUCCUGGAUGAAUAGAAACUACAGGUCCUGGAUGAAUGGAAACUACGGGUCCUGGAUAAAUAGAAACGACGGUCUCAGGAUAGAAUUUUCGUGAAGAAUACAACACGACAGUCUUGAAGAAUAUUCCACGCACAGAUCAGCUUAUUGUGGUGGUUCAUUUGAAGACAAGUAUCUAAUUUUGAUCUUGAUUACAUUUGGUUCAAAUUUAUGUACAAUGAGUAUUAUAAUAAAAAUUUUAUAUUCUAAAAAAACUUUAUUUCUCCUGUAUACUUAUAUCGAUUUAAUCGAGCGUCAUAUUGGAUUUUAAAGCUGUUCAAAGAGCUAAGAACCAACGUCGAUGUAUAUAAAUUUAAAAUCGGCAUCUGUCCACUCCAGUAAAAUGCAAGUAAGAACUUUUUGUAGUAAAAUAUGAUAUCCGGAAUCUUCUCGCUGUGUCAUCCGUAUGCUUGUUAUCUAUUGCGCUAAUGAUAUUUGGAAAAUUUGUGCGACUAUAAAAUUCACCUGCAAUUUUAAUCUAGUCAUUUUGUUUAGUUGGCAUAUACAAUAGUUGAAGAAUGUCACCCUUGCCCUCUUUCCGUUUAUAUAAUCAUCAUCGUGGGACUAAUAUCUUACCACCAUCUAUGCAACCUGUUCUACUCCAUCCCCAACCAACCAAUUUGUGAUAUAAUGAAUAUUAAAAACAUCUCAUCGCCAGACCAUUCUAACAAUACAGCCCUUUCACACUUCUCACUCACUUGAGAUGAAUCACAAAUAUAUGACUUGUGACAGAAUAUAUUUCCUAAAAUAUUAGAUAUGUGAAUUUAAUUGCAAUA